Molecule: unclassified non-coding RNA, 145 nt
Filed under: soil metagenome
Description: partial internal transcribed spacer 1
Source: RNAcentral
UAAUAAGUGUUUUAUGGCACUUUUUAAAUCCAUAUCCACCUUGUGUGCAAUGUCAGUCGAUCUUCUCCAUGGAGAUUGACCAAACAUCAACCUUUAUUUUUUAACUCUUUGUCUGAAAAAUAUUAUGAAUAAACAAUUCAAAAUA